RNAcentral lists this long non-coding RNA (967 nucleotides) under Anolis carolinensis (green anole). RNAcentral's name for it is "lncRNA (ENSACAG00000030902.2)". Lineage: Eukaryota; Metazoa; Chordata; Lepidosauria; Squamata; Anolidae. The record is from RNAcentral.
GGCCAUAUAAUGCAGUUCAAACUGCAUUAUAUGGCAGUGUAGAUGGGGCCACACUCUACCAAAAAAAAGUCAAAUGGUAAACCUCAUCUGAAUAAAUCUUGCUAAGAAAUUGUCAUCACAGUGGAUAUAAAUUGGAGUUGUCUUGAAGGCACAUAACAACAACAACAACAACAACAACAACAACAACAACAACAACAACAACAAGCAUCACAGUGAUGACGGAUACCAUUGAGAGAUUGUGAUUGUCCCAAGCACACAAUGUCUAAGUGGGAAUUUGAACCCAAGUCCCCCAAGUGCUCAUACAACACAGGGGCCAUUUACACUGCUAUUACAAUGCAGAUUGAACUGGAUUAUAAGGCAGGUAGACUUAUAGAAUCCAGUUUAAUGCCGUUUGAUCUGCAUUAUAUGGCAGUGUAGAUGGGGCCACACUCUACCAAAAAAAGAGUCCAAUGGUGAACUUCCUCUGAAUAAAUCUUGCUAAGAAAUUGUCAUCACAGUGGACAUAAAUUGGAGUUGUCUUGAAGGCACACAACAACAAAACAACAGCAACAAGCAUCACAGUGAUGACGGAUACCAUUGGGAAACUGGCCAGAGUCCCACACUUUAGGGACCUCCCAAUAGUGUCUCUUGUAUCAGCCUAACUUGUCUUUAAUUCCUCAGAGAUAUAGGUAGAGAACUCCCCCCUCUAACACAGCCAACACUAAGCAUGGUUCAUCCAGCUCUGUGAUAUGUGAGUUCAUUGACCAGGAGAAUUUCUAUGCCUUUCCCCCUCUUGCACAAGUCCAGUCAUCCAAUUCACUCAGGACAACAUGAGGAAGAAGCAGUGAACGUCUAUUCAAGAAAGAGGGGAAAGGAGAAGAGAAUCGCAAUUUCACAGGUAUCAUCCAGCUCACUCCCAGCAAGUCAUCCUAGGAUACCAUUCUCCUUUAUACGUGGAUCUCCAGAAGAAACCUGGAUCAUAUGGUGA